UACGAAGGGGGCUAGCGUUGCUCGGAAUCACUGGGCGUAAAGGGUGCGUAGGCGGGUCUUUAAGUCAGGGGUGAAAUCCUGGAGCUCAACUCCAGAACUGCCUUUGAUACUGAAGAUCUUGAGUGCGGGAGAGGUGAGUGGAACUGCGAGUGUAGAGGUGAAAUUCGUAGAUAUUCGCAAGAACACCAGUGGCGAAGGCGGCUCACUGGCCCGAUACUGACGCUGAGGCACGAAAGCCAGGGGAGCGAACGGG
This 253-nucleotide ribosomal RNA is filed under the name uncultured bacterium. RNAcentral describes it as "partial 16S ribosomal RNA". It matches the Rfam family "Bacterial small subunit ribosomal RNA", at positions 524 to 776 of the family's 1533-position model. The record is from RNAcentral.